RNAcentral lists this ribosomal RNA (424 nucleotides) under Verrucomicrobiota bacterium. RNAcentral's name for it is "Verrucomicrobia bacterium partial 16S ribosomal RNA". It matches the Rfam family "Bacterial small subunit ribosomal RNA", at positions 355 to 776 of the family's 1533-position model. Lineage: Bacteria; Pseudomonadati; Verrucomicrobiota. The record is from RNAcentral.
UGAGGAAUAUUGGUCAAUGGACGCAAGUCUGAACCAGCCAAGUAGCGUUCAGGAUGACGGCCCUAUGGGUUGUAAACUGCUUUUAUAUGGGGAUAAAGCGGGGAACGUGUUCCCUUUUGCAGGUACCAUAUGAAUAAGGACCGGCUAAUUCCGUGCCAGCAGCCGCGGUAAUACGGAAGGUUCGGGCGUUAUCCGGAUUUAUUGGGUUUAAAGGGAGUGUAGGCCGUUUGGUAAGCGUGUUGUGAAAUGUAGGAGCUCAACUUCUAGAUUGCAGCGCGAACUGUCAGACUUGAGUGCGCACAACGUAGGCGGAAUUCAUGGUGUAGCGGUGAAAUGCUUAGAUAUCAUGAAGAACUCCGAUUGCGAAGGCAGCUUACGGGGGCGCAACUGACGCUGAAGCUCGAAGGUGCGGGUAUCGAACAGG